Molecule: long non-coding RNA, 577 nt
Filed under: Vitis vinifera (wine grape)
Lineage: Eukaryota; Viridiplantae; Streptophyta; Magnoliopsida; Vitales; Vitaceae
Description: long non-coding RNA (VVIN_LNC007918)
Source: RNAcentral
UUUGGCAUGAUUCAGCUUCCACCUGCAGAGAACUAGUGGUGGCACUGUGCCUACCAUUUUUGUCUUAUUCCAGCUCAUUUUCUUUUCACCAACCAAUCGAUCUUGAAAGCCAAACCCCCCACUCCCUCUUACACAUGCCGACGUGCAUAUAUGCCCACGCCCAUUCACACAUGGAAGGCAUUCUUCUUGAUCCACUAACACUGAAGAUUUUGGUAAAAGGAGUAGGUGAAUAAAGACAAUCGUAGAGAUGCAAGCUGGUAGACACAAUGAAGCAACCUUACGUGUGUACCACAUGAAACACUGGAUCUAUCUUUGUCCCAUGCUAUCAAAGUUUAGACACAAGUGAAUGGUCCAGCUCUUCUCUAAGGUUUGGGAACUGGAAAGACGUGCAAACUUGAUGGUGCAGUCUACAGUAGUUUCCGGUGGUACUCUAUUAUUAACCUGACUCUUCAACAACAAUGGCUUGUGAUUAGGUCCAGUACUUGAGCUCCUUGUUUCGCACCGGGGUGGUCUUGCCAUGUCAGAUUGGGACCACCGAUGACUGACCACCAUCUGGGUGCAUGGGGGUAACUAGGGC